GCAGUGAGGAAUCUUCCACAAUGGGCGAAAGCCUGAUGGAGCAACGCCGCGUGCAGGAUGAAGGCCUUCGGGUUGUAAACUGCUUUUAUAAGUGAAGAAUAUGACGGUAACUUAUGAAUAAGCACCGGCUAACUACGUGCCAGCAGCCGCGGUCAUACGUAGGGUGCAAGCAUUAUCCGGAGUGACUGGGCGUAAAGAGUUGCGUAGGCGGUUAGUAAAGCGAAUAGUGAAAUCUGGUGGCUCAACCAUACAGACUAUUAUUCGAACUCACUAACUCGAGAAUGGUAGAGGUAACUGGAAUUUCUAGUGUAGGAGUGAAAUCCGUAGAUAUUAGAAGGAACACCAAUGGCGUAGGCAGGUUACUGGACCAUUUCUGACGCUAAGGCACGAAAGCGUGGGGAGCGAACCGGAUUAGA
This 416-nucleotide ribosomal RNA is filed under the name uncultured bacterium. RNAcentral's name for it is "bacterial SSU rRNA". It matches the Rfam family "Bacterial small subunit ribosomal RNA", at positions 351 to 782 of the family's 1533-position model. The record is from RNAcentral.